GCGACUGAUUAGACCUCUUCACUCUGCAGGUUUGUACAGACUGAGCUUCAUUAUCAUCCUUCUCACCCUCCUGUUAGUUUUGUGGCAGCUGUUUGGGUGAAACAACUUAGUGCUCAGUCACACCGCAAACUGACACAAAGAAAUUCAACUUGCAAGUCGUGUAAUUCAAAUCGUGCCACUCUGGUGUGAGCGAGCUCUCAUAUUCGUAUCAUUCUCACCAAGUUUGAUAAAAAGCAGUUAAUUCCCGUCACAGUUUCACCCCUCCUUCAACCUGAGCAAAGCUCUAAUCAAUCAUAACAAGUGAAAACACCUGUGCAGGUGUGCGUGCUGGGCCUUUACAGGAUGGCUCGCAGAUAUAAUUUCAUCCUCUGAUCCUUUCCAAGUUUGCAGGUAUGAUGAACCAAGAAUGAGACUGAACAACAAAACUUGAGGAAUCUGCUCAGUGUGCUUGCUGAGCUGCAUUGCAAGUAACCAUUUCACAAUCAAGUCCCAGGUGAGUCCAGUCUGUCGUGGUGAUGGAGGAUUUCUCCUGGCGUGUGCUGAGGAGAACAGUCCCACUGUUCAUUAAGGCACACCGGCGAUCGCGCUCUGCCCAGCUUCUUCCUGCGUCUGAUCACCACAGCACAACCUCCCCACUCGCCAACAGCCGACGGAGUGUUCAAGGAGACGAAUGGACACUGACCUUAUCAGGAGGCAGGUUUGUGUGUGUGGCAUCACCAUUCGUAGUGUGGACGCAGGUCUGCUGUAUGUUUUGGAGCAAACGAAAAGCCUAAGGCCCUGUUCGGACAGGCAGUCGUACUGCAUGAAAAACAAGGCUGCCCUCCCAAGAAGAAUGACAGCAUCAGUUGUUUCAGCACCUGCCCUAAAAUAUUGUAGGCUUAUGUUCAAGUGACAACACCCUGAAGUGACCAUAGUAAAUAUGA
Long non-coding RNA from Scatophagus argus, 923 nucleotides. RefSeq lists it as uncharacterized. The record is from RefSeq and is a predicted model, not a curated record. The transcript has 3 exons. Lineage: Eukaryota; Metazoa; Chordata; Actinopteri; Scatophagidae.